RNAcentral lists this ribosomal RNA (480 nucleotides) under Aquaspirillum sp. B11. RNAcentral's name for it is "bacterial SSU rRNA". It matches the Rfam family "Bacterial small subunit ribosomal RNA", at positions 8 to 483 of the family's 1533-position model. The record is from RNAcentral. Lineage: Bacteria; Pseudomonadati; Pseudomonadota; Betaproteobacteria; Neisseriales; Aquaspirillaceae.
AGAGUUUGAUCCUGGCUCAGAUUGAACGCUGGCGGCAUGCCUUACACAUGCAAGUCGAACGGCAGCACGGGAGCAAUCCUGGUGGCGAGUGGCGAACGGGUGAGUAAUAUAUCGGAACGUGCCCAGUCGUGGGGGAUAACGUAGCGAAAGCUACGCUAAUACCGCAUACGAUCUAUGGAUGAAAGCGGGGGAUCGCAAGACCUCGCGCGAUUGGAGCGGCCGAUAUCAGAUUAGGUAGUUGGUGGGGUAAAGGCUCACCAAGCCGACGAUCUGUAGCUGGUCUGAGAGGACGACCAGCCACACUGGGACUGAGACACGGCCCAGACUCCUACGGGAGGCAGCAGUGGGGAAUUUUGGACAAUGGGCGCNAGCCUGAUCCAGCAAUGCCGCGUGCAGGAUGAAGGCCUUCGGGUUGUAAACUGCUUUUGGACGGAGCGAAAAGGCUCUCUCUAAUACAGGGAGCUCAUGACGGUACCGUAG